RNAcentral lists this ribosomal RNA (497 nucleotides) under uncultured bacterium. Its description in RNAcentral is "partial 16S ribosomal RNA". It matches the Rfam family "Bacterial small subunit ribosomal RNA", at positions 28 to 507 of the family's 1533-position model. The record is from RNAcentral.
GAUGAACGCUGGCGGCGUGCCUAAUGCAUGCAAGUCGAGCGAACGGACGAGAAGCUUGCUUCUCUGAUGUUAGCGGCGGACGGGUGAGUAACACGUGGAUAACCUACCUAUAAGACUGGGAUAACUUCGGGAAACCGGAGCUAAUACCGGAUAAUAUUUUGAACCGCAUGGUUCAAAAGUGAAAGACGGUCUUGCUGUCACUUAUAGAUGGAUCCGCGCUGCAUUAGCUAGUUGGUAAGGUAACGGCUUACCAAGGCAACGAUGCAUAGCCGACCUGAGAGGGUGAUCGGCCACACUGGAACUGAGACACGGUCCAGACUCCUACGGGAGGCAGCAGUAGGGAAUCUUCCGCAAUGGGCGAAAGCCUGACGGAGCAACGCCGCGUGAGUGAUGAAGGUCUUCGGAUCGUAAAACUCUGUUAUUAGGGAAGAACAUAUGCGUAAGUAACUGUGCACAUCUUGACGGUACCUAAUCAGAAAGCCACGGCUAACUACGUG